Molecule: ribosomal RNA, 368 nt
Filed under: uncultured organism
Description: bacterial SSU rRNA
Rfam family: Bacterial small subunit ribosomal RNA
Source: RNAcentral
CGGAGGAUCCAAGCGUUAUCCGGAUUUAUUGGGUUUAAAGGGUGCGUAGGCGGCUUAUUAAGUCAGGGGUGAAAGACGGUGGCUCAACCAUCGCAGUGCCCUUGAUACUGAUGAGCUUGAAUGAACUAGAGGUAGGCGGAAUGUGACAAGUAGCGGUGAAAUGCAUAGACAUGUCACAGAACACCGAUUGCGAAGGCAGCUUACUAUGGUUUUAUUGACGCUGAGGCACGAAAGCGUGGGGAUCAAACAGGAUUAGAUACCCUGGUAGUCCACGCCCUAAACGAUGAAUACUCGCUGUUAGCGAUAUACAGUUAGCGGCUAAGCGAAAGCGUUAAGUAUUCCACCUGGGGAGUACGCCCGCAAGGGUG